GUCGUGUACCUGAGGUGCACCGGUGGCGAAGUCGGUUCCACGCCUGCCCUGGCCCCGAAGAUCGGCCCGCUGGGUCUGUCUCCAAAAAGGGUUGGUGAUGACAUCGCCAAGGCAACCGGUGACUGGAAGGGUCUAAGGAUUAUGGUGAAACUGACCAUUCAGAACAGACAGGCCCAGAUUGAAGCGAUCGGAAGAGGGUC
This is a non-coding RNA of Callorhinus ursinus (northern fur seal), 200 nucleotides long. The record is from RefSeq and is a predicted model, not a curated record. Lineage: Eukaryota; Metazoa; Chordata; Mammalia; Carnivora; Otariidae.